AUUCAAUCGCUUAUCUGGGGAAAAUCUGAGAUCUGAGUUCUAUGCAGCGUUGGACACGCAUUCUGCACGUUUGACUGAAAAUUUUCGGAGGAAAUCGGGGAAGAACACUUGAUGAAAUGAUGCAUCAUGUUGACUCAAGUCAUCUGAUGUAACGUAUGUUUACACUGCAUUACUUCAGGGUCUUCCAAUCCUCCUGGGGGAUGACCCAGAGGAAUUUUUCAGGAUGAGCUUCGAUUCAGAUGUAGAUGCAGGCUUCAGUGAAUUAGAUGUUGGACUGCUCACAGUUUUACUUGAAGGCAUGCCAGCCAAAUGUCCACAUGCCCUCAACAUGGAUGCAAUGGAGGGAAGAAGUGUCAUGAAUGAUGUCCCAAAUUUGCCACAUUCUGUAUGUCUCCAUUUGCUUUGAACUAUGCUCUAAAUUUAGACCAUCCAAGGACAAUGAGGAACACAUUUGAUUUUAUUCAGCGUGUAUUUCUGUCUUUGGGAGGAAAGAAUCUCAAACCCAAACUCCAAACCCUUAAAAAUCAUAUUUUAAGCUGAACUUGUUUCUGGCAUAUUUUGCUGUAAUUGCAGUUCAGAUUAAGAAUCUUUCCAAAGACACAUGCAGGUUUUUCCAAAUUGUAAAGGCUAUUUUUCUUUCUUUUUUUCUUUUAAAUAAAUACUUUUUGGAGUUUGCACAGUGCCUGUUCUGCAAAUGCUCAAUACCUUGUUUUAGG
This is a long non-coding RNA of Xyrauchen texanus (razorback sucker), 716 nucleotides long. RefSeq lists it as uncharacterized. NCBI's taxonomy places the organism in Eukaryota, Metazoa, Chordata, Actinopteri, Cypriniformes, Catostomidae. The record is from RefSeq and is a predicted model, not a curated record. The transcript has 3 exons.